RNAcentral lists this unclassified non-coding RNA (213 nucleotides) under fungal sp. RNAcentral's name for it is "partial internal transcribed spacer region". The stretch from base 1 to 46 matches the Rfam family "Eukaryotic small subunit ribosomal RNA", at positions 1786 to 1831 of the family's 1831-position model. Lineage: Eukaryota; Fungi. The record is from RNAcentral.
AAGUCGUAACAAGGUUUCCGUAGGUGAACCUGCGGAAGGAUCAUUAACAAAUUCUUAUCACAAGAUAAUACUAUGUGAAUCGAAAUAUAUAAUCAUCUCUAUAAAGCCUCUCAAACGAGGGGUGAGAUGGGAUAUAUUUUAUAAAAAUGUAUUACUAUUGUCUCAAUAUUAUUUAUAAUAUUAAAACUUUUAACAAUGGAUCUCUUGGCUCUU